Molecule: transfer RNA, 72 nt
Filed under: Capra hircus (goat)
Lineage: Eukaryota; Metazoa; Chordata; Mammalia; Artiodactyla; Bovidae
Also listed under: 1 other name
Rfam family: tRNA
About the family: Transfer RNA (tRNA) molecules are approximately 80 nucleotides in length. Their secondary structure includes four short double-helical elements and three loops (D, anti-codon, and T loops).
Source: Rfam by way of RNAcentral
UCCCUGGUGGCUCAGAUGGUAAAGCAUCUGCCUACAAUGCGGGAGACCUGGGUUCUAUCCCUGGGUAGGGAA